GCGGCAGGGCUGGCGGGCGGCUGCGGGGCGCGCGGGCCGGGCCCGGCCUCUGGCUCGCUACCUCUCUUUCUCAAACAUGGCGCGGGGCCGGGGGCGCAGGUGGCGGCGCCGGGCCGGGGCCCGGCUGGCCUGGCCUGGCGGCCGCCACGCGAAUCACGGGCGGGGAGCGCGGGCGGGGCGGGGCGGGGCGGGGGCGUGUGUCUGGGCGCGGGUGGACGUGCCGGGCAGCGGGCGGCCGCCCCUGCUCCCAGCUCCCCGGGGGAGGUGGCGUCGGGCGGAGCGGUCCGAGGGCCGGACUGCCUUGCGGGGAGCCAGGGGGCGCGGGCCGAGGGCCGGAGGUGGUGUGCGGCCGGCCGGGCCUGGAGGAGCCCGGGCGCCUUGUGGCGUUGUCUGGGCACCCCACCCCGAGCGGGAGGGUCGCACGAGGUUUUCGGGGCCCGGGGCGGGGUUGGGGUCGCCGGAGGUUUCCCGGGCGGGGUAUGAACUCUGAGCCUGCCGAGCGGUGGGAGGGGGCGACGUGUGGGGAGACCCCCGGGUCAUGGGGGUGCCCUGGUUUUGGGCACCGGCCCGACCCCGCCGAGAGGGGCUGUUUCCCCAGCCGGGGGUGGCUCUUGGAAGGGGGAGCCGCGAAGCUUUGUGUGAGAAGAAGGAGGCACGAAGAUGUGCGGAAUGUUUCUUCUUUGGUGCGUCUGGGAAGUGUUGAAGUGAAUCCAGUAACCAGAAGGCUACAGAUUGUUUUCGUAGUAGAAACUUGAACGUUUGCUCACUCUGCGGGGUUUGGAAUGUUUGAAUGGGAAUGACUCCGAAUUGAUCAAACGCUUUUAUUUCCUCGAAGGAACAUCGCUAGUGAUGUUCCUUUUCUUGAGUGACAGUAGUUUGAAUCAGUAGUCUCUGUGUACUUUGGUUUUCAAGGGAGAAUGUUUGUUUGCUCCUUUUUUCCCAAAAUAUGAAGUCAGGAUGGGAUAUGUGGUAAUAACCUACUUCCGUGGAAGGAACAGUGAAAAACUUUGUUAACAUCCAGACUAAAAUACUAGAAACUAAAAUAUAGAAUCCUUAGUGUUAGAAACUAAAUUACAUUGAAAGUACAUUUCUGUUUCUAAAAUUGAAUACCAAAUGUUUUAAAAAACAAACAACUCAAGAAUGAGAGUGCCAAUUAUGAGUAAUAGCUACUGUCUGUUAAAAGCUUACCAUGCUGUAGAUGCAUAAAGUACAUUAUCCAAUUCUCACAAUGAAACCCUCAGGCCUUGUGGCAUUUGCCCCAUGUUAUAGAUGAGAACACUGAGUUUCAAACAGGUUAGGUUAAGUACUUAGUUACUAAGAGCUGGAGUUAGGAUUUCCACCCAGAGUUCAGUCUUUCCAGAACCUAUAUGCCUUAAUAUAUACACCUGUCUGACGUAGCCCAUAUUUCUUUUCAGUCCUCUAAUGAGCACUUGGUCUUUAUGAUUACCUUUUUGGUUUUGUCUUCACACUAUGAAAAUCCGGUUGGCUUUUUUCUGAUGCCUACCUCGUCCAUUGCUGGAAUCCCUUCAUACUGGGCCUACAUUAGAGGAAAUGCUGGUUUUCUGACAAUGGCCUAAGGAGUGGGGGCAAGGUAAAUAUGUGGACAGGUAGGAGAAUCCAUAGUCAGGUAUCAAGCAAAAGUAACAUUUCUACAGCACUAAUAAUUCGAAUAGCAUACUUCACUCUUCCCAUCUAGCCUACCCAUCACACUAAGUGUUCAUGUAUUCACUUGACAAUAUUGGACUUAAUUAGCAUCCAGAACAGUGCUCAGUCCAUGCUGGGGAGAAGCUUCCAGACUACACUGGUGUGCAUACAGCACAAAGUUGAUCCUGGUGCCGUUACUCUGUAGUCUAGACUCCCUCAACUGGUCUGCCCAUGCUUGUUUGUGUUGAUCUUUCAUUGAUUCUGAAGCAGCUCAAAUGCACUUUUAAAUUUAUAAUUUAGCUUCCUUUUUAAGACCUUGCAGUUAUUCCUUAUUGUCUGGGUAUCUAUCAGUUUUGUAUUUCUCUGCCCAGCUUCUCCUCUCUUUAACAUAGAUUUCUCUAGGGAAAUUGGUUCCCUGUCCCUAGUACACAGAUUAGUACCAUACCAGUAUGUCCACAUAUAUAUCCCGUGUGAGAGUCUGGUUUCCUUUCUGCCAUCGUGUAAGUUUUUUCUUUGAAAACAUGCCUAAAACCCCCAACUCUUUUUUUUGUUGUUGUUGUUGUUAAGUUUGUUUAUUUAUUUUGAGUGAGAGAGAGAAAGUGUGUGAGAGCAUGAGCCAGCCGGGAGAGGCAGAGAGGGAGGGAGAGAAUCCCAAGCAGGCUCUGUGCUGUCAGUGCAUAGCACGAUGAGGGGCUUGAUCCCUCAAACUGUGAGAUCUGUGAGAUUAUGAUCUGAACGUAAAGCAAGAGUCAGAUGCUUAACCAACUGAGCCACCCAAGCACUCCUCCAUAAACGCUUCUCGAAUGUCUCUUCUUUUCUUUGUAUGCAGCCAUCAGUUUAGCCCUGCCUGUUAUCCCUUGACUCUAAGUUGCUUUCUAGUUUCUCUCCUCUAGGCUUUUCUAUAGGCUAUUGCCAAGCUAAUCUUCCUCAGCCAUCCUCACAAAGGGUUUACAAGAUUUUCCAUUUGUAUUCAGCAGUUAGAGCAAUACUUGAGGCUUAUGAUUGAAGCCAUCUCUGAGUAUUCAACCAAAGAUUCUCAACUCGUUACUACUGUAAACCCUCAAUUCCGGUGAUUUCUGUUUUCCCACUGACUCUUGACUUUUUAGCCUUUUAACUACAUACUUAACUUUACCCCUUUUGGGAAUGUGAGGAGAGAAGUUCUCAGUCCUGUCUUCAUGUACUGAUUUAGUUCCUGAACUCUUUAUUUCCUUGAACUGUAUAGUACUUACAGUUUGUGUUGUUUAUUUCCACCAGUCCUGUGCCGUUCUUUAACUAUACUUUUGAAUGUGUUAUAGGUACCCAGAGGGCAAGGGUUAUGCCUUUUCCUUUAUACUUUUGGAACCUAGCACUGUGUUUUAUAUUCUGUUCCACUUAAAUGCUCGUUGAUUAAGUGAAUUCCACUUGACUGAGCCUUCCUUUAGUAUUUAUACUGUUUUAUGUAAGUACAGCUUAUGCAAUAUUAAUUGGCAUUUCUGUGUAUAUAAUAUGGAAAUUGCAUAAUGUGAUGAAAGAAGCAGUUGGUUAUUAGAUUUGCUUGUUAGUCUCAACCUCACCCCUAGUUAUACAGAAACUCUGGAUCAUACCUACUUUUCCUAAUUCAUGAGAUUUUGAAUACCAGAUGAGAAAGUUGUAUUGGAGUUUGAGGUUGCUAUUUUGUGUUGAUAUUACUGGAUUGAUGUUCAGCCACCAAUUUCCACUGGGCCACGUGUGUUUUGACUGAUCAGACAUCCUUUCUGAUUGGUUGGUACCAUUGUGGAGCCAGUUGUUAAAUAUUUUUAAAUUACCCCUGCAGAGAGGCAUCAAGUAGUCAAAGAGGGAAAUGAUUAAUGUAGGCUGAAGUAAUGGGGGGAGGCUUUCUGGACACUUUAGGACUUGAACUGACUUUGAAAGGUAGCUUAAAUUCAAAUGGGCAGAGAAGGAGAGUUGAUGAGUAGUAAGCUGUGUCCCCCACUGUCCUGGGGCCUACACCAGGGCAGGAAUCAAAGCUUUUAUUGACUGGCAAGUUCCUUUUUAGAGUUCAGUUCUUUAUUCUAUACUGCAGGGUUUGGAUGUAUUACCACGGUUUCUUUCCCCCAAUUCUGAAAACUCUGUAAUAUGUGAAUGGAAACAAAAUAGAAAGGUAAUCUAAGUGGGAUAAAUAAGGGAAAAUAAUAUUAUAGACUGCCCACCAGGGGUAAGCAUUCUAAUGCUGAAAGUUGUAAGUCCCUUUGGUUUAUAAGGGAAAAAAAUGACAUCAGAGAUUAGGUGAAUUUCUUAGGGUCAGGCAGAACUAAGACAGGAAUUUAGAUUAUCUCAUUCCACAUCUUCUGCUCUUUUUUUUUUUUUUUUUAAUUUUUAACGUUUAUUUAUUUUUGAGACAGAGAGAGACAGAGCAUGAACAGGGGAGGGGCAGAGAGAGAGGGAGACACAGAAUCUGAAACGGGCUCCAGGCUCUGAGCUGUCAGCACAGAGCCCGAUGCGGGGCUCGAACCCACGGACCGUGAGAUCAUGACCUGAGCCGAAGUCAGACGCCCAACUGACUGAGCCACCCAGGCGCCCCACAAAUCUUCUGCUCUUUAAAAUAUGAAGGGCUUUGAGGAGGGGAGGGGAGGGUUAAUGGAGUGACUUACCUAAGUGAAGUUAGUUAUCUUGAAUUUUACAGAAUUUAUGAAAAGUGACUUCUGAUGGAGUGGGGGAGGAGCUAAAAAGUCCUCAAGAGAAGGUCAAUAUCCUUUUUAUAUUGCUGAUAAAAAGACCUGGUGUAGAGCUUAUUGAUUGAGAAGAGUAGGCUUUAGUAGUUUAAAAGAUGGUAAAGCUGUUUGGGGUUUAAUUGAAGUGGAUGUAAUUGAGAGGCCUUGCAGUACAUGGUCUAGGUUUAGAGUUUUAGAUGAUCUACUUUGUUGAAAUUAAAUAGGGAACUGACAUGAUCAAAAUAAUUGAGAGGGAGGUAAAUCUUGUUCCUCUGAGGAGGGCUGCUUAUGUGGAGAAGACCUUUGCUGAAAGGUUCUUCUAGGCCUAGUUGAAACAGUUAUCUGAACUCAGCACCAUUCUGGUAGUACCUUUGUAGUUCAUCAGAUAUUUUCAUGUCUAAUGACAUGGGUUUUAAAAAUGCCAUUUUUUUUAUGGAUGGCCCUUUUGAUGUGAGAACAUGUUUCUUCAAACCACAGAGCCUCCUGCGCAUGUUGACAAACUGCCUGCCUUUUGCUGUUCUUUCUUGGUUGUGGCUUACAUAAUGCAAGUUCUCUGAACAGAUGGACUGUGGUUUAUUAUCAUGUGAUUGGGUCACAUCUUUGCUUCCUGCUUCUGGAAUUGAGGGCAGAUGCUGGCAUGUAUCUCAGGGAUUUUCAUGCAUUGUCCCAUAGAACUGGCUUGAGAAAACUUUUGGAAUCUUAAAAAUUAUGGUCUGUCUUGACCCGGCCUAACUCUAAUACUUAGGGUAAUUAAUGACUUUCUUAACUGAAUUUCUUCAUUAUCAAAUCCAAGUGUUACGCAUAAACAUUAAGAUUUGUUGCUACUUUGAAUGAGAUCCAGUUUUAGCUCUACAGUUUUGGGCAGGUGAUGCAGGUAGGUUUCUUAUGGUUACCCUUUUUUUAUAUGAACUUAAUGAUUGGUUGACUUAUAGGCUAUUUGCUUUAGACAGACACUUUCUCCAACACUAGUGAGAGAGAGGAGUAAGUCUGGGUCCAGUUUCUGUGGGUCCAGUUUCGUAGAUCACAUCUGGCUUUUUGGAAAGCUACUCCCUGUUUGGCAAUCUCAGAGAAUACACAUUAUAAAGAAUGAUUUCUAACUUAAAAAAAAAUUAUGACUUGCAGGAGAUGGGUGCACACAGGUUACUUUGACAUUUCUUGAAGAUUCAGUGGUCCAUGUACCAUUUAUCAAUCUGAAAAGAAUAUAUGAUAAGAAUGUGCCAGGCAUUCUGUCUGCCUUGUCUCAUUUAAUUCUCAGAACCAACGCUGAUGGUAGUUGUAUAAUAGUACAAAAGUUUCUUAUGUACCAGUUAAUUUCCAGAUUUUUUUUUUAAGUCCAUUUGUUACUAGGUCCGGGUGACCAAUGCUCAAGAGUUAACUGUAGAUUUUGAUGACAUUGUUUUUUGUUUUUUUUUUUAAUGUUUAUUUUGAGAGAGAGAACAUGUAUACAAGUGGGACAGAGAGAGAGGGAGAGAGAAUCCCAAGCACUCUCCGUGCUGUCAGCACAGAACCCAACACGGGGUUCGAUCUCAUGAACCAUGAGAUCAUGACCUGAGCCAAAAUCAAGCAUCAGACACUUAACUGGGCCAUCCAGGUGCCCUGAUGACAUUGAUUCAAACCCAGGAUUCUUUUCAGCUAUCUUACAUGUUAUUCAAAGAUGUCAAUAUUCUUUCAUCUUUUAGUCAUAGAUAUAUUUAUAAAAAAAGAUACUGCUUCAGAUAGAAUAGAGAUCUGUAAGCUAGUAACAGUCCAACCACUGAGGUUCGAAUGAUUGUGCAUUACCACUAACUCCAGUAGGCAGAGUUAACAGGAUUUUGCUCAGACUGGAACUUAGUUUGUAUCUGUGAAAGUUUGUAAAAGGAAGAGCUUCUGUGUUUCCAUUUUAUAGACGAGGAAACUGAGGUCAUGAUGUUAACAAGUGGUGGGACCUGUACUUGAACAUUUUCAGAGGGUGGACUCUUUCCUGCACAUCAUGUUGCUUUUGUAUACAGUAAAUAUCUUGUUUCGGUCACUUCGUCAGGAAGGGGUUUUUUUUUUCUUCUUUUUUUUUCAACCAUGAGAAUUUGCUUCAGCUUGUCUUAAUUAUAGUGUGCCUCUUUGCAACUGCAAGUUACUCAGAUGCUUGCAGUCUUUGACUUCUAUUUUUAGGUAAUUUUAAUCUCUCUGAUGAGUCUAAUGACAGUUGAUCACACACUAUUUGUAUUGAUUUAUAUAUUUUCAUAGCACACUCUUUGCUUCUUAAAGUAACAUAACCACAGACUUGAAAAUAGCUGAAAAUUUGAAUUAGAGAAAAGAAAAAAGCUAUCACUGUCCAUCACUAACACUUUGACUCAUCCAUUCCCCAUGGGUUUUUUUUAGUAUAAUAAAGUCAUUAAAAAAAUCAUUCUAUCUCUUUCAGUAGUUUAUCAAAGCUAAUAAAAGUGUUUUUAAGUUGUAAAGAGCUUCAGCUUGUAGUGACCAACACAGUGGGAAGUAGAGAAAGAGGCUGACUUCCUUUAAGAAAUAUGAUACCUGGGGGGUGCCUGGGUGGCUCAGUCAGUUGAGCAUCAGACUUUGGCUCAGGUCAUGAUCUCACGGUUCAUUGGUUCAAGCCCUGCAUCGGGCUCUGUGCUGAUAGCUCAGAGCCUGGAGCCUGCUUCAAAUUCUGUGUCUCCCUCUCUCUGUCCCUCUCUCGCUUGCACUCUGUGUCUGUCCGUCUCUCCCUCUCAAAAAUAAACAAACAUUAAAAAAAAAUAAAAUAGAGAAAUAUGAUACUUGGGAAAUAUGAUAAAUACAGAUUCAGUAAUAGCAGCCAUAGACACUGCUUUAUAGAAGUGGUAGGACUUGAUCCCCUGCCUUGUGGGAUGGACAGAGUUUAGAUUGGGGCAGAGAGAAAGCGCUCCUAGGUAGGGGAGGAUGAUGCAUAUGAAGAAGGAGCAUGUUAAGUUCCAAGAAUUUUAAAGGGAGGAGUGGAGGUUCAUGAUUUAGAGGAUGGGUUCAAGGAAUUAUGGGCCUUAAAAAUCAGGUGAGUGGUUUUAAUCUGACAUGUUUUUAUGACAUUUCAAAGAAAUCGGAGGAGCUGGUAGUAGGGCCUUUGCAGGGCUGUCCCUUUGCCUCUGCUCUUCCCCACAUAUCCACACAGCCUCCUCCCUUACUUCUUCCACAUCUUUGCUCAAAUGUCACCUUUUUCUCAAUGAGACUUACCCUGACCACCCUUUUUUUAAAUUGCCGUUAUCUUACUCUGCUUUUUCUUUUUUUGUAACAUUUACUACCUUCUGAGAUCCUGUACUUACUUAACCGUAUUUACUUAUUUACUCUGUCUGUUGUUUCCCUCUUCCUACUAGAAUAUAAGUUUAUGAAAAUGGAUAUUUCUGUUUUGUUCCCACUGUAUCACAAGGGCAUAGAAAGUGUCUGGUGCAUCAUAGGUACGCAGUAAAUAUUUGUUGAACGGCAGUAGAUCUUAGUUGUAGGAAGUUGGAGUACAAAAAUUAAGGAUUCCAUGAAAUAAAAAAAAGAAUGACUCCAGGACUUUUACAUCUGGAUAAUGCUUUUAACUAGUAAGGAAUUAGGUGAGAGAAAGAUUGACGGGGAAAUGAAACCUGAUUUGAACAUGUUGAGUUUGAGGUGAGGGUCGCAUAACCAAGUGGAGUUUUUCAGUAGGCAGCAAAGAUGUAAGAUUGGAAUGUGGUUGGAAAUGGGAGAGAAUCUUAGGCAAAGAAACAAUUAUCAGCAUUUGCCUUCUACCUCAUUCUCUCUCUCUCUCUCUCUCUCUCCUUUUUUUUUUUUUUUUUUUUUUCUGGUGCCCUAAAAAGCCACCUUAAGCGAAGUACUUAUUUUGACUCUGAACUCCUAACUUAGAUGUGGAGCCUUGCUCAGUUCACUGAGAUAUUCUUCCCUCCUGGAUUGCAGGUCCAUGCUUUGUUCUCUCCACCCCCUCCAACACUAAAGAAAUAUGUAUUCAGAAUUAUUUGUGAUCUUCUGAUUGUACUGACAUUAGUGUUCAAGCUCUCUUUCACCUCUUGAGAAUCUGCUCUGGUUCUUGGAUGAGGUAGAAGAGAGGCCAACAUAUAGCAUUCAUAUACUCUUUAGCAUUCAUACCUUUGAGAGGAGCACUAUUUUGUAACUUUCUUAUUGUAUGGGAAAAAUUAUUCAGUGAUUGGCUUGUGUCCUCUGACUGUUUUCCAGGAAAGGAUUUAGGAAACUUGAAAUAAAAACAUAUGCAGUAAGAUCAGAACUAAUGACCAGAAAGAUAAGAACCAAUAAAUAAAAGGGGAAAAGAAAGAACAAUUCUCCAUAACUUUUAGCUGGGGAAAGCUUUUGUAGUUGAACACAAUACGUAGCUCUGAGUUUUCUAGCAGUGAGAGCAAUCAGGGAACCUGAUAGUUUGCAUCUCAUUGCCUGUUAUUGAGCAUUUAUGGGAGGCUGCCUCCUUCCUUAAUAAUAAGGAGCCCCAGACACAAAGAUGCAAUGCACGGAGAAUCUCUAAGUAGUAAAGGCUUCCUGGACCUCAGCCCUGAUUCUCGUUCGCAGGCUUCUUCUUCAACAUGUAUUGAGGGUUGUGCUACCAUUUUUCUUCUCCAUGCAAAGGCUGUGAUCCAAGUAUGGACGCACUAGUCUUACGCUAAUGCCAGUGGAACAGCUGAUGUAAGGCUGCAGCAUUUAAAUCAAGCUUAGCUAAAAGCUAGAGGAUAAUGAAUAGAGAAAGCAACAUGAAACUGUUCAAGCUGGCUUACAAAGACAUUUUCCUCAUGUCCUUAUCUUUUGGCCUGUCUCCAUUUGGCAGACAUCAUCUGAGUACUGUCACCAGAAGUGAAUAGAGCCAGGCAUUUAUCUUUCUUCAAACAGGGCCAAAACAGCAGGGUCCAGAGAGUGUCUUUGCUUAGGUUUCCCAUCUGAAGAGCUGCCUCCUUUCUGGGUGAUGGAUGUUGGGAUCGAUGACUUCCUUUAGGAGAGACCACACAUACUCAGAGAGUGUGUCCUUACACAGGUAGGAUGCAUAGUAACCCCAAUAUUCAUAUAAAAGAUACUCACAUAUGUUACCAUGAAGGAUAUUCUUUGUUAGAAACAUGCCAAUUUCAUUGGGAAAAACAAGUUUCUCCCUGCUCUCGAGCAGAAUCUACUAUAGAAGUCUUUGUAUAAGGGGCAUGAGAGAGAAAUCAAGUGAAGAGUUUGGGUUUAUCAUUGUCCAUGACUUGAGUAGAUUCACUUUCCUUUCUUACUUCUCAGUCCUAGUGUUUCCUUGUUCUAAUCAACAGGGCUGAACCUCCUUAUUUUUGUUCAUUUGCUUCAGGAUAACCAUUCCAUCUAGAUUUCCUAGGUGUGAACCUCACGUAUUACAUAAUAGUGUGUAUUUAUAGUUCUAGGACACCUUGUGCGGGCAUCCUGUUACAUUUCUACAAUAUAAGAUCUUUAAAUAUGCAUUGAAAUACAAAUAGCUCCCAUGGAAAAAAGCAAAAACAAACAGCUUUUUUUAACUAGAAGUGAGGGCUAAUAUUUGGGAGCAAUGAACAUGGAGGAGAUAGGUAAGCCUGAAGAGGAAUGUAGAGGUAGAAAAUUAGUAACUGACUUUUAAUUUAUAUGAACACGCACAAUAUAUGUAUGGUCUUUGUUGGUUUUUUUCUGGAUGUAUUUAUUCCCAAAUGGAACCAUAAUGUGCUCUAAUUGAGUCUCUUUGUUUAGCACAUGGCUGUUGAUUUGAGUACUUUCUCCAAUUGAAAAACUGACAUUUUAAUUUUGUUAUUCAAUGUGCAACAGAUUUAAAUAAAAACACCAAGAUUGUGUAUUGUAGAUUUCCUUCAACAAUAAUUAUAUGUAAUUAUUUUACCAAAAUAAACAAGUUAAAGUAGUUUUGGCUGUUUUAUCGCAUUUUACAUUUGGAAAAAAAUUACACACCAUGGACCAGAGUUUGCUCAUGUUUCUCAGUGAGGAAUGAAAAUUUCUGUUU
Long non-coding RNA from Panthera uncia (snow leopard), 10233 nucleotides. RefSeq lists it as uncharacterized. The record is from RefSeq and is a predicted model, not a curated record. NCBI's taxonomy places the organism in Eukaryota, Metazoa, Chordata, Mammalia, Carnivora, Felidae. The transcript is spliced from 2 exons.